RNAcentral lists this long non-coding RNA (1127 nucleotides) under Homo sapiens (human). RNAcentral's name for it is "HSALNT0336964". The record is from RNAcentral. Lineage: Eukaryota; Metazoa; Chordata; Mammalia; Primates; Hominidae.
AUAAAUAUUCUAAAUUCUAUUCCAACAUGAAGCCACAGAGAGCCACAACUCUGCACAACAUUGACUUCUGAGAGAGGAGGAAGGAAGAAACCAGAUAAAGAAAUUGAGGCAGACAGAGGUUAGAGGAUUUGAACUGAUGUUGCCAGGACUUGAAACCAGACAGUGGCUUAUAUUAGAGUCUGUGUUCUCAGCUACCAUACUAUCUGCUGUUCUGCUGAUGACCUGCGGAAAGCUUCAUUCACUGGCAAAAGAGAACAAAGGACCAUGGAAUGUGGAACCUUGCCCAGCCUGCUGCUCAGGAGGCGAUUGCUCAAGGCUGUCUUAUGCAGAGGAGGUCAACAGUUGACCCAUGAACCAUUUAAACUGGAAGGAAGAAUUAACCAAUACCCUGAGAGAUUGACUACAACUACUUUUUCCUGAAAGUUAGAGUGCAGAGUACAGGAGAGGAAGGCCAUUUACUAAUUUUCCUGCUUCCUUCACCAGUCCUCUACCUCUCCAUACCUAAGGUCCUUCACUCAAUAUACUCAAGUCUUCUCUGCUAUGUCUGCAUUCCCACAUGCCACGGCAUAUAAAAGCCUGUGAAGAAAAAACCAACACCUAGAAUUUUUUCCAUCCCUCACCUUUCCUUUGAGAACUCAACAACCCAAGCAACAUGAACCUUUUCCCAAAUACCAUUUAGGAGAAGUCACUGGCAGUUUAAGAAACAGAUUUUUUUAAAAAGUUCCAGGGUGAGACAUCUUCCAACAUAAACUUUAAAUAUCAUUCUUAGCAUCAAAGCAACAAUAUAUUUAGUAUGCUUCAAUCAUUCCCAAGGAGAAAGAUACUGGAAAAUGUGGUUUGAAGUGUAAAUUUAUAGAGCAGAGUCAUAACCGACAGUUAAUAUCUAAUGGUUUCAAUCAAAUUUAUAACAGAGCUGAGUUGGCAGCAAGCAUUCCUGGACCUGUCUCUCCAAUCACAGAGUACCCAGGGACACAGGCAUUUACACACGGACUCCGGGAGCUUGUGCAAUGUGAUACCAACUGCAGUUCUCUUCAUGAACAUAACCUCAGAACCGAAAGUUUCCAGAGCUCAUCACAAUGACUGGCAUAUGGUAAAUGAAUAUUAAUCCAAGGGGAGGAAGGAUGGAA